Molecule: ribosomal RNA, 460 nt
Filed under: uncultured bacterium
Lineage: Bacteria
Description: partial 16S ribosomal RNA
Rfam family: Bacterial small subunit ribosomal RNA
Source: RNAcentral
CCUACGGGAGGCAGCAGUGAGGAAUAUUGGUCAAUGGACUUACGCCUGAACCAGCCAAGUCGCGUGAGGGAAGACUGCCCUAUGGGUUGUAAACCUCUUUUGUCAGGGAGCAACGCCGGCUACGUGUAGCCGGCCUGAUAGUACCUGAAGAAAAAGCAUCGGCUACCUCCGUGCCAGCAGCCGCGGUAAUCCGGAGGAUGCGAGCGUUAUCCGGCUUUAUUGGGUUUAAGGGGUGCGUAGGCGGAAUGCCAAGUCAGCGGUAAAAUCGCGGGGCUCAACCUCGCUCCGCCGUUGAAACUGGCGGUCUUGAGUGGGCGAGAAGUAUGCGGAAUGCGUGGUGUAGCGGUGAAAUGCAUAGAUAUCACGCAGAACUCCGAUGGCGAAGGCAGCAUACCGGAGCCCAACUGACGCUGAGGCACGAAAGCGUGGGUAGCGAACAGGAUUAGAUACCCCAGUAGUC